CAAGCCUAAAAAGCUUGUGGAAUAAGGGCUGGGCAAGACGGGUGCCAGCCGCCGCGGUAAUACCCGCAGCUCGAGUGGUGGUCGCUUUUAUUGAGCCUAAAACGUUCGUAGUCGGCCUUGUAAAUCCCUGGGUAAAUUGGGCCGCUUAACGGUUCAAAUUCCGGGGAGACUGCAAGGCUAGGGACCGGGCGAGGUCAGAGGUACUUUCGGGGUAGGAGUGAAAUCCUGUAAUCCCGAAGGGACCACCUGUGGCGAAAGCGUCUGACUUGAACGGCUCCGACGAUGAGGAACGAAGGCUAGGGGAGCAAACCGGAUUAGAUACCCGGGUAGUCCUAGCUGUAAACUCUGCCCGCUUGGUGUGGCCUGUCCUUCGGGGGCAGGCCGUGCCGGAGCGAAGGUGUUAAGCGGGCUGCUUGGGGAGUACGGCCGCAAGGUUGAAACUUAAAGGAAUUGGCGGGGGAGCACCGCAACGGGAGGAUGCGUGCGGUUUAAUUGGAUUCAACGCCGGAAAACUCACCUGAGGAGACCAGCGUAUGUGGGUCAAGCCGAAGACUUUACCCGAACAACAGCUGGAGAGGUGGUGCAUGGCCAUCGUCAGCUCGUACCGUAGGGCAUUCACUUAAGUGUGAUAACGAGCGAGACCCCCAUUCCUAGUUGCUAACCCCUCCGAAAGGAGAGGUGCACUCUAGGGAGACCGCUUCCGCUAAGGAAGAGGAAGGAGGGGUCGACGGUAGGUCAGUAUGCCCCGAAUCCUCAGGGCAACACGCGCGCUACAAAGGACAGGACAAUGGGUUCCAACCCCGAAAGGGGAAGGUAAUCCCGAAACCUGUUCGUAGUCCGGAUUGAGGGCUGUAACUCGCCCUCAUGAAGGUGGAUUCCGUAGUAAUCGCGGAUCAACAGUCC
RNAcentral lists this ribosomal RNA (903 nucleotides) under uncultured Thermoplasmatales archaeon. Its description in RNAcentral is "bacterial SSU rRNA". It matches the Rfam family "Archaeal small subunit ribosomal RNA", at positions 414 to 1314 of the family's 1478-position model. Lineage: Archaea; Methanobacteriati; Thermoplasmatota; Thermoplasmata; Thermoplasmatales. The record is from RNAcentral.